Molecule: ribosomal RNA, 178 nt
Filed under: uncultured bacterium
Lineage: Bacteria
Description: partial 16S ribosomal RNA
Rfam family: Bacterial small subunit ribosomal RNA
Source: RNAcentral
UGAGCAAUCUGCCCUUCUCUUUGGAAUAAGCGUUGGAAACGACGUCUAAUGCCGAAUACGACCUCCUUUCGCAUGAUCGGAGGUGGAAAGUUCCGGCGGAGAAGGAUGAGCUCGCGGCCUAUCAGCUAGUUGGUGUGGGUAAUGGCCCACCAAGGCGACAACGGGUAGCCGGCCUGAG